CCUACGGGAGGCAGCAGUGGGGGAUAUUGCACAAUGGGGGGAACCCUGAUGCAGCGACGCCGCGUGGGUGAAGAAGCGCCUCGGCGCGUAAAGCCCUGUCAGCAGGGAAGAAAAUGACGGUACCUGAAGAAGAAGCCCCGGCUAACUAAGUGCCAGCAGCCGCGGUAAUACGUAGGGGGCAAGAGUUCUCCGGAGUUACUGGGUGUAACGGGGGCGCAGACGGCGAUGCAAGCCAGGAGUGAAACCCCGGGCCCAACCCCGGGACUGCUCUUGGAAAUGCGUGGCUGGAGUGCAGGAGGGGCAGGCGGAAUUCCUGGUGUAGCGGUGAAAUGCGUAGAUAUCAGGAGGAACACCGGUUGCGAAGGCGGCCUGCUGGACUGCAACUGACGUUGAGGCCCGAAAGCGUGGGGAGCAAACAGGAUUAGAUACCCCAGUAGUC
Molecule: ribosomal RNA, 439 nt
Filed under: uncultured bacterium
Lineage: Bacteria
Description: partial 16S ribosomal RNA
Rfam family: Bacterial small subunit ribosomal RNA
Source: RNAcentral